RNAcentral lists this long non-coding RNA (326 nucleotides) under Coffea arabica (coffee). RNAcentral describes it as "long non-coding RNA (CARA_LNC003182)". The record is from RNAcentral. Lineage: Eukaryota; Viridiplantae; Streptophyta; Magnoliopsida; Gentianales; Rubiaceae.
GCACAAACCUUAGGGUUUAUCAUUCAUCCGAAUCCAAUGAUAAAAGAAUGAUGUAUGAAAAAAUCAAUCAAAAUAUAUGGAAGGUGAUUUCCUAUGUUCUGCAUGGAAUGAAUAUGUCAAAGAAUGUAAAACACAUCCAAAAAUGCCAUGAAUACAAGCACAUGAGAAAAGAUGUGUUUGGAAAAGAAUAUUUUACAAAGCAAAACAGUUUUGGCCAACAGAUGUCAUUUUCAAAUCUUUGGAUAUUUUUGUUCUGGAAUUUAAUAUUGGCAGAAGUAUGACAAAAAUGAGAAGAAAUCCAAAUGAACCAAGUCACCAGCUGUUCC